This 21-nucleotide ribosomal RNA is filed under the name Habenaria crinifera. Its description in RNAcentral is "partial 26S ribosomal RNA". RNAcentral also lists the same sequence under 8 other names. Lineage: Eukaryota; Viridiplantae; Streptophyta; Magnoliopsida; Asparagales; Orchidaceae. The record is from RNAcentral.
GCGACCCCAGGAUGGGCGGGG